CCUACGGGAGGCAGCAGUGAGGAAUAUUGGUCAAUGGGCGCGAGCCUGAACCAGCCAAGUAGCGUGAAGGAUGACUGCCCUACGGGCUGUAAACUUCUUUUAUAAAGGAAUAAAGUGAGGCACGUGCGCCUUUUUGUAUGUCCUUUAUGAAUAAGGAUCGGCUAACUCCGUGCCAGCAGCCGCGGUAAUACGGCGGAUCUGAGCGUUAUCCGGAUUUAUUGGGUUUAAAGGGAGCGUAGAUGGGUUGUUACGUCAGUUGUGAAAGUUUGCGGCUCAACCGUAAAAUUGCAAUUGAUACUGGCAGUCUUGAGUACAGUUGAGGUAGGCGGAAUUCGUGGUGUAGCGGUGAAAUGCUUAGAUAUCACGAAGAACACCGAUUGCGAAGGCAGCUUACUAAACUGCCACUGACAUUGAUGCUCGAAAGUGUGGGUAUCAAACAGGAUUAGAUACCCCUGUAGUC
This 460-nucleotide ribosomal RNA is filed under the name uncultured bacterium. Its description in RNAcentral is "partial 16S ribosomal RNA". It matches the Rfam family "Bacterial small subunit ribosomal RNA", at positions 338 to 795 of the family's 1533-position model. The record is from RNAcentral.